RNAcentral lists this ribosomal RNA (966 nucleotides) under Bacillus subtilis. RNAcentral's name for it is "bacterial SSU rRNA". It matches the Rfam family "Bacterial small subunit ribosomal RNA", at positions 49 to 1001 of the family's 1533-position model. Lineage: Bacteria; Bacillati; Bacillota; Bacilli; Caryophanales; Bacillaceae. The record is from RNAcentral.
CUAUACUGCAAGUCGAGCGGACAGAUGGGAGCUUGCUCCCUGAUGUUAGCGGCGGACGGGUGAGUAACACGUGGGUAACCUGCCUGUAAGACUGGGAUAACUCCGGGAAACCGGGGCUAAUACCGGAUGGUUGUUUGAACCGCAUGGUUCAAACAUAAAAGGUGGCUUCGGCUACCACUUACAGAUGGACCCGCGGCGCAUUAGCUAGUUGGUGAGGUAAUGGCUCACCAAGGCAACGAUGCGUAGCCGACCUGAGAGGGUGAUCGGCCACACUGGGACUGAGACACGGCCCAGACUCCUACGGGAGGCAGCAGUAGGGAAUCUUCCGCAAUGGACGAAAGUCUGACGGAGCAACGCCGCGUGAGUGAUGAAGGUUUUCGGAUCGUAAAGCUCUGUUGUUAGGGAAGAACAAGUACCGUUCGAAUAGGGCGGUACCUUGACGGUACCUAACCAGAAAGCCACGGCUAACUACGUGCCAGCAGCCGCGGUAAUACGUAGGUGGCAAGCGUUGUCCGGAAUUAUUGGGCGUAAAGGGCUCGCAGGCGGUUUCUUAAGUCUGAUGUGAAAGCCCCCGGCUCAACCGGGGAGGGUCAUUGGAAACUGGGGAACUUGAGUGCAGAAGAGGAGAGUGGAAUUCCACGUGUAGCGGUGAAAUGCGUAGAGAUGUGGAGGAACACCAGUGGCGAAGGCGACUCUCUGGUCUGUAACUGACGCUGAGGAGCGAAAGCGUGGGGAGCGAACAGGAUUAGAUACCCUGGUAGUCCACGCCGUAAACGAUGAGUGCUAAGUGUUAGGGGGUUUCCGCCCCUUAGUGCUGCAGCUAACGCAUUAAGCACUCCGCCUGGGGAGUACGGUCGCAAGACUGAAACUCAAAGGAAUUGACGGGGGCCCGCACAAGCGGUGGAGCAUGUGGUUAAUUCGAAGCACGCGAAGAACUUACCAGUCUUGACUCCUCUGACAUCCAAA